Molecule: long non-coding RNA, 348 nt
Organism: Actinia tenebrosa (Australian red waratah sea anemone)
Lineage: Eukaryota; Metazoa; Cnidaria; Anthozoa; Actiniaria; Actiniidae
Source: RefSeq, a predicted model, not a curated record
ACACUGCCAUAACUUACAGUAUUUGACACGGAAAUCAUCACUUAGUUGCUGUGGGAUGAAAAAAAAGGGGGGGAGAGAAAAGCUGGUAUUUCACUCUGGUCAGAGAUAAAGACAAAAAACAUUUCCAGGGUGAGGAUCACAGUGCACAUAACCAGUCACAAAUAUCAUCUCACUGUAUAGCUCACCGAUUCGUUUGGAAACCUAAGAAAGAAGCAUGUGCUGUAAAACUAUGACAGAGAACCAAUAUUUUGUGGGUUCCGCCAUUCCUGUAGAUGUAGCCACUCACCUCAUCAGAUGAGAUGUUAUGUUUUCUCAUGUACUCCAGAUCAUCAACUUUGCCACCUUCAC